ACUCAGUGAAAUUGAACUCGCUGUGAAGAUGCAGUGUACCCGCGGCAAGACGGAAAGACCCCGUGAACCUUUACUAUAGCUUGACACUGAACAUUGAGCCUUGAUGUGUAGGAUAGGUGGGAGGCUUUGAAGUGUGGACGCCAGUCUGCAUGGAGCCGACCUUGAAAUACCACCCUUUAAUGUUUGAUGUUCUAACGUUGACCCGUAAUCCGGGUUGCGGACAGUGUCUGGUGGGUAGUUUGACUGGGGCGGUCUCCUCCUAAAGAGUAACGGAGGAGCACGAAGGUUGGCUAAUCCUGGUCGGACAUCAGGAGGUUAGUGCAAUGGCAUAAGCCAGCUUGACUGCGAGCGUGACGGCGCGAGCAGGUGCGAAAGCAGGUCAUAGUGAUCCGGUGGUUCUGAAUGGAAGGGCCAUCGCUCAACGGAUAAAAGGUACUCCGGGGAUAACAGGCUGAUACCGCCCAAGAGUUCAUAUCGACGGCGGUGUUUGGCACCUCGAUGUCGGCUCAUCACAUCCUGGGGCUGAAGUAGGUCCCAAGGGUAUGGCUGUUCGCCAUUUAAAGUGGUACGCGAGCUGGGUUUAGAACGUCGUGAGACAGUUCGGUCCCUAUCUGCCGUGGGCGCUGGAGAACUGAGGGGGGCUGCUCCUAGUACGAGAGGACCGGAGUGGACGCAUCACUGGUGUUCGGGUUGUCAUGCCAAUGGCACUGCCCGGUAGCUAAAUGCGGAAGAGAUAAGUGCUGAAAGCAUCUAAGCACGAAACUUGCCCCGAGAUGAGUUCUCCCUGACUCCUUGAGAGUCCUGAAGGAACGUUGAAGACGACGACGUUGAUAGGCCGGGUGUGUAAGCGCAGCGAUGCGUUGAGCUAACCGGUACUAAUGAACCGUGAGG
Molecule: ribosomal RNA, 891 nt
Filed under: Escherichia coli
Lineage: Bacteria; Pseudomonadati; Pseudomonadota; Gammaproteobacteria; Enterobacterales; Enterobacteriaceae
Description: partial 23S ribosomal RNA
Rfam family: Bacterial large subunit ribosomal RNA
Source: RNAcentral